RNAcentral lists this non-coding RNA (57 nucleotides) under Trichobilharzia regenti. The record is from RNAcentral. Lineage: Eukaryota; Metazoa; Platyhelminthes; Trematoda; Strigeidida; Schistosomatidae.
AUCCAGCUGACGAGUCCCAAAUACAGUCCCAAAUAGGACGAAAUGCGCAUCCUGGAU